AUCGCCGGUUGAAUCUCUUUGUCGAUCGGUGACAUGCUUACUCUGCCGAUCGAUGUCUACAUGUAAGGGUUUUGGUGGAUGAGGGUGUAUAGCUGCAAACUCGUCAUGGGUCAUAAUCAUGACCGUCUCGCAUGAUGCAACUGGCUCCAUCGAUCGAUGUUGAACAUCCGAUGUCGAUCGUUGUUCAUCCCAUUCCAUCGAUCGAUGUUCAUCUCUUGGUGUCGGUCGACACCAAUGUGAACCGCCGAAGGUCAUGGAGCUUUUGACAUCGAAAUCUCUCUUCUGAAGCUUUUCUUCAUUAACCACUUGCAGAAGUCAUCCUCUAUGAUGGCAUUGAUGUGGUAAUUCAGUGUUGCAUUGCCUUUGAUGAAAGUUUCUUGCUUCUCAACAGCUUCUCU
RNAcentral lists this long non-coding RNA (398 nucleotides) under Brassica napus (rape). RNAcentral's name for it is "long non-coding RNA (BNAP_LNC019869)". Lineage: Eukaryota; Viridiplantae; Streptophyta; Magnoliopsida; Brassicales; Brassicaceae. The record is from RNAcentral.